AGAGUUUGAUCCUGGCUCAGGAUGAACGCUAGCUACAGGCUUAACACAUGCAAGUCGAGGGGAAACGACAUCGAAAGCUUGCUUUUGAUGGGCGUCGACCGGCGCACGGGUGAGUAACGCGUAUCCAACCUGCCCACCACUUGGGGAUAACCUUGCGAAAGUAAGACUAAUACCCAAUGACGUCUCUAGAAGACAUCUGAAAGAGAUUAAAGAUUUAUCGGUGAUGGAUGGGGAUGCGUCUGAUUAGCUUGUUGGCGGGGUAACGGCCACCAAGGCGACGAUCAGGUAGGGGUUCUGAGAGGAAGGUCCCCCANAUUGGAACUGAGACACGGUCCCAAACUCCGUAACGGGAGGCA
This 356-nucleotide ribosomal RNA is filed under the name uncultured bacterium. Its description in RNAcentral is "bacterial SSU rRNA". It matches the Rfam family "Bacterial small subunit ribosomal RNA", at positions 8 to 350 of the family's 1533-position model. The record is from RNAcentral.